This 507-nucleotide ribosomal RNA is filed under the name uncultured bacterium. RNAcentral's name for it is "bacterial SSU rRNA". It matches the Rfam family "Bacterial small subunit ribosomal RNA", at positions 975 to 1482 of the family's 1533-position model. The record is from RNAcentral.
CAGGGCUUGACAUCCUCUGACCCCUCUAGAGAUAGAGGUUUCCCUUCGGGGACAGAGAGACAGGUGGUGCAUGGUUGUCGUCAGCUCGUGUCGUGAGAUGUUGGGUUAAGUCCCGCAACGAGCGCAACCCUUGAGCUUAGUUGCCAGCAUUGAGUUGGGCACUCUAAGCUGACUGCCAGUGACAAGCUGGAGGAAGGUGGGGAUGACGUCAAAUCAUCAUGCCCCUUAUGUCCUGGGCGACACACGUGCUACAAUGGCAGAUACAGAGGGAAGCCAACCGGCGACGGGGAGCUAAUCCCAGAAAAUCUGUCGUAGUCCGGAUUGGAGUCUGCAACUCGACUCCAUGAAGUCGGAAUCGCUAGUAAUCGCAGAUCAGCAUUGCUGCGGUGAAUACGUUCCCGGGUCUUGUACACACCGCCCGUCACACCAUGGAAGUGUAUUGCACCAGAAGCAGGUAGCCUGACCGCAAGGAGGGCGCCUACCACGGUGUGGUCCAUGACUGGGGUG